Molecule: ribosomal RNA, 572 nt
Filed under: uncultured bacterium
Lineage: Bacteria
Description: bacterial SSU rRNA
Rfam family: Bacterial small subunit ribosomal RNA
Source: RNAcentral
ACGGGUGAGGAACACGUAGGAACUUGCCCUUUAGAGGGGGAUAACCAAGGGAAACUUUGGCUAAUACCGCGUAAUCUCGAAAGAGGAAAGCUGCCCGUAAGGGUAGCGCUAAAGGAGAGGCCUGCGUCCGAUUAGCUAGUUGGUGAGGUAAAGGCUCACCAAGGCGAUGAUCGGUAACUGGUCUGAGAGGACGACCAGUCACACUGGGACUGAGACACGGCCCAGACUCCUACGGGAGGCAGCAGUGGGGAAUAUUGGACAAUGGGGGCAACCCUGAUCCAGCGAUGCCGCGUGGGUGAAGAAGGCCUUCGGGUUGUAAAGCCCUUUAGGUUGGGAAGAAGAGUGUUGAGUGAAUAACUCAGCGAUUUGACGGUACCGACAGAAUAAGCACCGGCAAACUCUGUGCCAGCAGCCGCGGUAAUACAGAGGGUGCGAGCGUUAAUCGGAGUUACUGGGCGUAAAGGGCGCGUAGGCGGUUAAGUGAGUGUGAUGUGAAAGCCCCGGGCUUAACCUGGGAAGUGCAUCGCAAACGACGUAACUGGAGUAUAAGAGAGGGUGGCGGAAUUUCCGGU